GUCCAUUAGUUGAUGAGACGUUGUCGUUUUGGAGCAUCGUCUCCUUCCAUCCCCUUGUCUGAAAACAAAACGGAACGGAGGAGUGACGACUGAGGAGUGAGGAGUGAGGAGUGAGGGACUGAUCUGAGCUUUUGGUAUUGAUAAGAGCUGGGCGUUGAUUGAUUUAUUUGACUCUCUCUCUCUCUCUCUCUCUCGUUGAGGCGCUGUCAAAAAGAGUUGUCUCAUCGUGCGGCUGUGCCAGGAUGUACAAGGAUGGUAGCAUCAUUCCAUUAGAUGAUUCUUUGGGUUAUGCUUCAAAUUUUUCACACAUGCUGGGAUAUGGUAGUCCUCAGAUGAAAGAGCUUAUGAGGCUUUAUCUCAGCGUCCACAGGUUCCGAGCCAGCCAAUGGUGCAGCCAAGCAAUGGCCCCUAUCUUGAAGGAGAUUCUGCCACGAUCCAAGGUUUGUUUGUUUCUUCUCUUGGACCAGGAAUUUUGGGAAAUUAUCUUCCAUGGAGUUCAGGUUAAGUUGGAUUUAUAUUCUUGCCUGACAUGAAAAUUUUAUGAUUUAUUUUACCAUUACAAAACGAGUUUGUUUUUCUAUCUUUUCCUCUCAUGAAAAAGGCUCGACAAAUUCAGGUAUUCAUUCCUUUUUCCCUCCCAAAUCUGUUGCAAUUUGUUUGUUUUAAUGUACUCCAUGAAUUAUUUCGGGUUCCUGAGAUUUGGAGUGUGCCAUUGGGGAGUUUUCAACAUUAUUUUGCCAUGUUAUUGAAUUUUUCAGGUUAACAGUAAUGUCGUUGAUCUUCCUAGUGAUGUUGGCAUGUAUGUUUUAAGCCUAAAACCCUAUAUUUUAGUGGAGGUGGAUGCCUUGAUCGGUUGGUGAUGGAUCGUUUUUGUCUUCUCUGCGCUACAUCUUCAGAUCAUAAGGCACCAGGUGGGAUGUUCGAAGAGAAAAAAAAACAUUGUGGGGAGUGCGUAUGAUCAGGUUUUGGAUGAUACUUUUGUCAAUGAGAGUGAUGGCGUUGAUGGACACGCUUCUUCUCUGUGCUACGCCUUUAAGGGUCUUUUGGAAGCAAACCAUGAUCAAGUCAUCACGUAUUCUAAUCCAUGUUAUUCUCUUCAAGCGUCCUCAUGGGUUCCUUGCUCCAAUCAUCACUCUCUUACUCAUGUUGCUCUUCUAGGAUCGUGAAGGAGGAUGCUUUGAUCGGUUGGUGAUGGUUUUGAUGGCUCGUUUUUGUUCUCUCUGCGCUACAUCUUCAGCAUUAUAAUGGCGAAGAGAGAGCAAACAAGUCUCUGAGAGGUGCCGGUGAUUUACAUGACUGAGUUGAUUCAGAACACAAUCGUCGCCAAACAUGCUUAAGAUCAAGGAGAUCAUCAUAUUCAAGGAAGGUAGAGACCAUGUACAACUAAUUCCAUGAAUGACACCAUUCCAUGAGCCAACGUCCAACCAGAAGAAGAAAAAGAAGAACGCCUCGAGGUUGGUUCUUGUCAUUGUGGGAGACACUCUGUUUCGGGAUAGACAGUCACAAAUAUCUCUAUGAAGCUGCAAGUUGAAAGUGGUCCGUCGUUUCUUCAAAAGCGAUUUUUUUAUUAAAGAGCAAAGAACAAGUUCAGGGGCUGUCAAAAGAGUUGUCUCAUCGUGCGGCUGUGCCAGUCAGAGGGAGACACAAUAACUGGUGGUGACUUGUAAGUUUAUUGGUUUACUAGGAAGCAGCUGGAUUCACAGUUAAUGAUCAUGUUCACUCAAUGAUAGAGAUCUAUUCGAACCAGUAGCUACAACACAAAGCAAGCCAAGAAAUAUCAAGUUACUCUUACCGAAGCAAGCACAUGAAUUUAGGUAUGGAGAAUUAGGGUUCCUGGAGCUUCGAACUCAAAGCCAUGGGUCCUUAUCUAUCUAUGGUCCAAUUCUACUCGGUCAGGAUUGAUAGAACUGCUCGUGUUGCCUUUGAUACUGCUCCGAAACGGCGUGGCAAGCUGUGUUUCUUUUACUUGUUUUCCUCUCUCUUGUUUCAUGUGGAACACAUAUAACACUGAUGCCAAUGCAAUUUG
This is a non-coding RNA of Camelina sativa (false flax), 2026 nucleotides long. NCBI's taxonomy places the organism in Eukaryota, Viridiplantae, Streptophyta, Magnoliopsida, Brassicales, Brassicaceae. The record is from RefSeq and is a predicted model, not a curated record.